UGGUCUGCUAACUAGCGACACGUACUCUGGUAUGUGGCUCGCUUCUUAGAGAGACUGUGUGCGUUGCAGCACACGGAAGCUCGAGGCAAUAACAGGUCUGUGAUGCCCUUGGAUGUUCUGGGCCGCACGCGCGCUACAAUGUCACGGCCAACGAGUAUCCACUGGAUAACCUUGGCUGAGCAGCCUGGGGAAUCUGCAGCCCGUGACGUGCUGGGGAUCGUCCUUUGCAAUUAUCGGACGUGAACGAGGAAUUCCUUGUAAGCGCAUGUCAUCAGCAUGUGCUGAAUCUGUCCCUGCCCUUUGUACACACCGCCCGUCGCU
Molecule: ribosomal RNA, 321 nt
Filed under: uncultured fungus
Lineage: Eukaryota; Fungi
Description: SSU rRNA
Rfam family: Eukaryotic small subunit ribosomal RNA
Source: RNAcentral